RNAcentral lists this long non-coding RNA (274 nucleotides) under Hordeum vulgare. RNAcentral's name for it is "long non-coding RNA (HVUL_LNC012044)". The record is from RNAcentral. Lineage: Eukaryota; Viridiplantae; Streptophyta; Magnoliopsida; Poales; Poaceae.
CUCUCUCCCUCCACUACUUCAUGACGUAUCGUACCUAGAUCGGUACAGCAUGAUGAAGUCCUACCGGUGUAGCUCCAGCAUCAUCACCGCCACGCCGUCCUGCUGCCGGAGAAUUCAGCUACCUCUUCCUCUCUCUUGAUGGAUCAAGAAGGCGGAGAUCGUCAUCGAGAUGUACGUGUGCUGGACGUGGACGUGCCGUCCGCUCGGUGGUAGAUCGGGACGGAUCGUGGGAUGGCGGCGAUUUGGAUCGUGAAGAAGUUCCACUACAUCAACC